This 31-nucleotide non-coding RNA is filed under the name Homo sapiens (human). Lineage: Eukaryota; Metazoa; Chordata; Mammalia; Primates; Hominidae. The record is from RNAcentral.
CACAUGUCCUGUCAUUUAGAAUGGCAGCUGU